ACUCCGACAUGUAAACGUCUCUAAAGAUCAUGAAACCAUGUAACAGAACUUUUGCAAAGCCCGGUAUGUCCACUGCUAUGCUCAUCAGCUCAACAUUAUCAUGCAGCAGGUGACAUCCCGUAUCCCAAAAGUUGGUCAGUUCUUCUCUGACCUAGCUGGAUUCUCAGGAUUUUUUUCAAGAUCCCCCAAGAGAACCAGUGUGCUUGACAGAGUGGUGGCACACAGGCUUCCAAGAGCAAGCACAGUAAGGUGGAACUUCCACAGCCGUGCUGUCAACACUGUGUUUGAGCACAAAGACGACCUCCUUCAGUGCUUCGAAACCAUCAGGGACUCAGGUGACUUUGAUCCUACCACUGUCCAUGAAGCUGGAGGUUUUGUGAGACUCCUGGAGGAUGCUACCUUCUGCUUCUUCCUGGAGCUUUUCCACCGCAUCAUGCCUCAUGUGGACAUGCUCUACGGCCAAUUCCAGAAGAGGUCCAUCGAUUCAGUCUUUGUCCACAGAGUGACGCAGCAUUUCACUGACAACGUGCAAAUGAUCAGAGACUUCCUCCCUACUGUCAGUGAAGAACAUCACAGCUGUGUGCCUCAGCAGCAGCUGGCCAAGAAGCGCCGCACACUGGGACCAGAUGAGCUACAGAGGUUUGUGGCACAAUCCUGGGCCAUGCAAAAGAGAGGCUUGCCUUCACCAAACACCUAAUCAGUGCUCCACUGCUUCAAGGAGACAGAUUCCAGGAGUAUGACAGCCAGUUUCCUGAAGCAUCGCUCAACACCACCAUGGAGGCCUAUCCAAUGCUGAACAAGGGCAAGCUGAAAACUGAACUGUCGCUCAUCUUCAGCAACACAGAGUUCAUUAGUUGCAAUGGUGCUGUGGCUCUGUACCAGCUCUUCAUGAGCAACAAUCUUCAGGACACCUUCUCAGAGACUGUGUCUCUCCUGAAGAUCCUCAUCACGACUCCAAUGACGACAGCUGAAUCUGAGAGGUGCUUCUCAACACUAACAAGAAUCAAGACCUUCCUCAGGAACACAAUAUCGCAGGAUCGUCUUAUAAUGCACUUCCCAUGCUCUCUAUGGAAAAGAAACUUGUCAGGGAGACCCCAGAUUUUAACCAUAGAGUCAUUGAGAAAUUUGCAUGUCUCAAAGACAGAAGAGCAAAACUUGCAUACAAAAAAAAAAUCACAGAUGUAGAGGUGCUGGCUUUAAUCUCUAAAAUGUGAGGAUUUACUUUUUUGUCAUUUAAUAAUGUAAACAGAAAUGUUAGUUGACACAAGUGGCACUUUAGACUGAAAGCCUGUUGAUUUUCAUAUGUUCUGAAAUCUGAGGAAUUACUGUUUUUCUUUAUUUUCAUUUUAAAUAUUUAAUGUUAGUUGACAGAAGCACUUUGGGCUCACAGCCUAAGAUAAGAUAAGAUAGGUUUUAUUUGUCACAUGCACAGUUAUACAUAGUAUAAUGCCUAAUGGUUUCAGUUUUUUUUUUUUUUAGGCAAAGUGACAAGUUUUUAUUGCUUUGAUCUUAAAUAUGCAGAUUUGCUGUUUUCUCAUUGUCAUGUAAGGUUGUUAAUGUAAAAGUUAGCUCACAGAAGCACUGUCUGCUUUAAGCCUUAUAGUUAGGUUUUUUUUUUAACAAAAUGUCCAAUGUUUGUUGGUUUCACAGGUAUGGAUUUGUUUUUUUGUUUAUUUGAGUAUGUAAAUAUAAAUAUGUUGUUCCAAAGAUUUUGCUGGACAGAAGAAGCACUUGACACUCUUUGAAGCUGGAAAAAUGAAUUGUUUCUUUUUUACUUUUGAAGUAAAAAAUAGAUUUGCAUAUUUAUACAUUCUUAAUUUGUUUAAUUAUAGAAAAGGAGAUUUUAAGGGUUUGUGUACCAAUUACACCUUAUCUGGAGCAAAUCAUAUCAAACACUGGGGAGAUAAAUUCAAAUUCACUAGCUGGUAACAUUUACGUGCAUUUAAUUGUCUAUUUGACUCAGCAGUAGUGCUUAGGUGUACCCUCGUAGUGGUGCAUAGUAAUAGCACAUCAAAUGGCUGUGAACAUAAUUUACAUCAAUUCGUGUAUUCCGGUGUUGCCGACUCUGCUAUUUGGUUUGGUAAAUUAAGUGCGCCACCCAAGAGAAAAAUUCACCAGCCGCCACUGUAUUUAAAAGCAAAAAUGGUUGUUUAAAAUAUUACAGAUGUGACUGACAGACUGAUAAAUGUGACGACUGUUAACAUGAUUCUGAUUACCUGCACAAAUAUCAUGUUAAAUCACCAUAUACAAAUAUAUAGGCAGGUAAAAACGAAGGUCUAAGGAUGAACUGUGAGUCUUUAUUUAAUUCAGCAACAUACCUGUCCUCUGCUGUCACUACUAUGAGUUGGGGAGUUUACUGAUUCACAAUUUUUAUGCACGACAAUGACGACUUUAAGUGUAUAAAAAUGUUAAAUUUCCUGCACUUUGACCAGUGUCUGGUUUGUUUUCAGUGCAGUGAGAGUAACCAAGAUGUAUGGAAACAUCUCCAUGACCUUGGCCCCCUAUAUUUACCAAAUAAAUAAACCAGUUUAUGUUAAAUCCAAAGUGAUGUUAUAGCUUUCUAGUGGAAUAUGUUUUCACCAUACAGUGCCAUGGAAAAGUAUUUACCCCCCUACAGAAAUCUUCUAUUUUUGUAUAUUUGUCUCACGUAAAUGUUUCACAUCAUCAAACUAAUUUUAAUGUAAGACAAAGAUAACCCAAGAAAAAGUAGUUUUUCCAAUGAGGAUUUUAUUUUUCUUUUUGAAGGAAAAAUGCUGUCCAGUCCAUCUUACUCUAUGUGAAAAAGUAAUUGCCCUCAGAGCAACCAGUCUACCAAAUGGUCAAAUUUAGGUGCAAUCUUGUCAGCCUCACUCACUUAUGCUUACUGCCAGGCUUGUUGGAUUUUAACAUCAGUGAAUAGAACCUGUCUGACAUUGUGAAGUUGUUAAAAGAUCUCAAAAAGCAGCAUGAUGCAAUGUUCCAAAGAGAUUCAAGAACAGAUGAGAAACAAAGUCAUUGACAUUUAUCAGUCUGGAGGGUUUCAAAUCCAUUGUUGAGGCUCCGGGACUCCAGAAAACCACAGUGAGAAUUAGGAUGGAUGAAUGAAUAAAUGGAGAAACAUGAAACAGUGGUGAACUUUCCCUGGAGUGGACCAACGACCAACAUUUCUCCAAGAACAUCGACAUCUAAUCCAGGAGUCACAACAUCACCCACAUUAAUAUCUAAAGAUCUGCAGACCUCACUGGCCUCAGUUAAGGUCCAUCUACAUGAUUCCACAAUGAGGAAGAAAUGGAUCAAACCUUUACUGACCAAAAAGAACAUAAAGGUCUGUCCGGUUUUUGCAAAAAAAAUAAAAAAUAUCAAGGAGCCCCAAGACUGUUGGGAUAAAAUCCUGUGGACUGAUGAUUAUGAUUGAGAUUCUGUGGCAAGACCUUAAAAGGUCAGUUCAUUCUCAAAAAUCAUGUAAUGUGGCAAAAUUAAAACUGUUCUGCAGAGAAGAAUGAGCCAAAAUUCUUUGAUUGUGAUGUAAAAGACUGAUCACAAACAUUUAACUGCAGUUGUUGCUGCCAAGGGACCAAACACUUAUUAGGUGUAGGGGGGCAAUUACUAUUUCACAGGGGUGAUAUAGGUUUUCAGUCAUUUAAAAACUGCAUUUUGUGGGUUAUCUCCGUCUAAUAUUCAAUAAAUAGGAAUUUUAAGUAGAUGAUUUUGAAUAUUUAAGUGUGAGAAAUAUGAAAAAAUAAAAGAUUUUUCAUGA
Molecule: long non-coding RNA, 3736 nt
Organism: Acanthochromis polyacanthus (spiny chromis)
Lineage: Eukaryota; Metazoa; Chordata; Actinopteri; Pomacentridae
Exons: 3
Source: RefSeq, a predicted model, not a curated record